Non-coding RNA from Paramuricea clavata, 799 nucleotides. The record is from the annotation of a GenBank genome assembly. Lineage: Eukaryota; Metazoa; Cnidaria; Anthozoa; Malacalcyonacea; Plexauridae.
GUUUUUUCUACGUUAUAAAAACGGAAACCUUAUUAAUAUUUUGAAGUAUACUAUCUAGCAAUUACCCAUUUAUCAUGGUACUAUUGUGAGAAAGCAAAACCCUAUGCUUUGUCAUCCGCUAUAAAAAAUGCCGCCAAAUUUAGUUACACCGAUUUUCGGGUGACGUCCACUAGUAUGGAGGUUCAGAUUUGACUACCACUGCCUCUCACUCAUUCACUGGCGUACUACGCACCCAAGACUCUAGACGAGGUUGAUUAUAUCAGGGCGCCUUAAAAAAACACACUGUAUUAAAACGCUGUUGGUGUUUUAUUACGCCCUGAUUAUAUAAAGUCCUGACAUCGUUGGUUGAUGUGUACCGCUGGAACACCGCAGGCUUUAGACGCCAUUUUGAUUUAUAUUGUCUAGAUGUGUGUGUUUUUUACACUGUUGGAUUCUGUUUAUAUAGUUAUUUCUCUUUAAACUAAAGCGGGUUUAUUCAACCACGCUGUUGUAUGGAGUUUGGGUGCUUUUAUUGACCUCAUUUUGGAAUUGGAAACAUCAAACAGAAAAAUGUGUGUCUCAGUGUUUGGCCUACAAGAAUGAAGGAAAUUGAUUUGAGUGUUUAUACUUGGAUUGUAUCAUGUCAAAGAGACGAGUGUCUUACUUCUAUGACGAGGAAGUGGGAAAUUUCCACUAUGGUAAGUUAGAUUAGGACAAUUGAUCUUUUUCACUAAUCAAUAGACUACACAGCUGUGACUGUGAGCUGUUUAUUGCGGUUUUAUACCCCAUUUGAGCACGAAACAUGGGAUUAAUAUCAGGG